AGGCUGUUGGUUCAAAGUCCAGCGUCCGUGUUUUUUACACUGACUGUAUAGAAAGAGGAGGUACAGUAAAUGCACCCCAUAUAUACCUCACCCCAGGCUCUUUGCCUGGUCUGUAUUGUAACUUGGGGGACAAAA
Suncus etruscus (white-toothed pygmy shrew) is the source of this 135-nucleotide small nucleolar RNA. RefSeq annotates it as small nucleolar RNA SNORA51. The transcript has a single exon. Lineage: Eukaryota; Metazoa; Chordata; Mammalia; Eulipotyphla; Soricidae. The record is from RefSeq and is a predicted model, not a curated record.